Long non-coding RNA from Leopardus geoffroyi (Geoffroy's cat), 1065 nucleotides. RefSeq lists it as uncharacterized. NCBI's taxonomy places the organism in Eukaryota, Metazoa, Chordata, Mammalia, Carnivora, Felidae. The record is from RefSeq and is a predicted model, not a curated record. The transcript has 2 exons.
UCAUUUGCCUUUCCAAUAUUGCUGUAGUUUUAUGAUCACCCUUGUACCCGAUAAUCAACAGCUCUUCGCUUAUAGGCAAGAAGAGAGGACACUCAGGCUGAUUAGCAGAGUUUUUUUCUUUGUUCCUUUUUUCCCCUCUCAAGUCAUAAUGACCUAAGAUCAGAGCCCUCUGAUCAUUUAUGCUGCUACCUUAGGAUCCAGUUUCAUUCUACAACUGGCUGAAGCAUGAAAUGAACUAAAAUAAACCGAAUUGAAUGGAACUGAACUGAACUGGAAUAAUGCGAUUUCCAGUACACUCGACGCCUUAAGGACCGAGAAGCUACCUCACCCACCGUCCUCCCAGAGGUCCCAGCGCCAAUGACCAACCCAGUCAAGACUCAGUGCAUGACUGUUGGGUGUAACCUACCCUGGUUUUACCAGGGCUGAAAACACCGUGAAUUGCAUUAGAGAGAACUGUAAGCUAAUUGCCAAAGCACAUAACGUCAUCCAAAUAUAUCUUUAUUUCAGUCAUACCUGAGGAAACAAAAUUUAGACAACAAGCCAGAAAGGAAAUGGAAGGACUUGAAUACUGAACACCAAUUUCCCCUCGAUUCACCUGCUUUCUCCUUCCUCAUCCCGUUCGUCCUGUCUUCUAUUCCCAUCCCCAUAGUUUUUCUAGUAUUUGUUGGAUGUUUACUACAUGCCCGGCAGCGUGCUAAGCACUUUCCGUGCAUGGUCACAUUUGACCCUCACGGUGGCGCGCCAGCAAGAGGAGUAAAGAGACUCGCUUAAGGCCACCCCACCGUCAAUUCUGAGCCACGUUCUGUUCAAGCCUAAUCUCCAAAUCUCUGAACCCACAUCAUUAUUUACUGCACUGGUGAAAUAAUGAAGUGGAGGCAAUACUGUUGGUAUACAAACUAGCUGCAGAUUUACAAGUAACUAAGUAGGAACUCUCCAGAAACCCAGCACAGCAGUUAGCACUAUUUCUGUCUCCUCCUUCAUCCUGGUAGUCUUGUAUAUAUCAUGCCUCCUAGGAGGCAUGAUAUAUACAAAUAGUCUUGUAGUCUAAUACAUGUAUUUAUUAAG